UGGCUCAGAACGAACGCUGGCGGCGUGGAUUAGGCAUGCAAGUCGAACGAAUCCCAGCUUUGUAGCAAUACCGAGCUGGGGGAAGUGGCGAAAGGGGCAGUAAUGCGUGGGUAACCUACCCUGGGGACUGGGAUAGCCUUCCUAACGGAAGGAUAAUACCGGGCGACGUAGUGAGGUCACAUGGUCUUGCUACCAAAUGAGUUUCGCCCUGGGAGGGGCUCACGUGCUAUUAGCUUGUUGGUGGGGUAACGGCUCACGAAGGCAAAGAUGGCUAGCGGGUGUGAGAGCACGACCCGCGCCACUGGCACUGAGACACGGACCAGACUCCUAC
Molecule: ribosomal RNA, 331 nt
Filed under: uncultured Planctomycetaceae bacterium
Lineage: Bacteria; Pseudomonadati; Planctomycetota; Planctomycetia; Planctomycetales; Planctomycetaceae
Description: bacterial SSU rRNA
Rfam family: Bacterial small subunit ribosomal RNA
Source: RNAcentral